RNAcentral lists this ribosomal RNA (264 nucleotides) under uncultured bacterium. Its description in RNAcentral is "partial 16S ribosomal RNA". It matches the Rfam family "Bacterial small subunit ribosomal RNA", at positions 28 to 275 of the family's 1533-position model. The record is from RNAcentral.
GAUGAACGCUAGCUACAGGCUUAACACAUGCAAGUCGAGGGGCAGCAUGAUUUGUAGCAAUACAGAUUGAUGGCGACCGGCGCACGGGUGAGUAACGCGUAUGCAACUUACCUAUCAGAGGGGGAGUAGCCCGGCCGAAAGUACGGAUUAAUACCCCACUAAAACAAGGGGUCCCGGCCAUGGGAAUAUUUGUUAAAGAUUCAUCGCUGAUAGAUAGGCAUGCGUUCCAUUAGGCAGUUGGCGGGGUAACGGCCCACCAAACCG